RNAcentral lists this long non-coding RNA (2980 nucleotides) under Mus musculus (house mouse). RNAcentral's name for it is "long non-coding RNA chr1:154032546-154035526". The record is from RNAcentral. Lineage: Eukaryota; Metazoa; Chordata; Mammalia; Rodentia; Muridae.
UCAGAGAGACAGUAGACCUUGGAGGCAUAUUCCUAAGCAACCCACCCCUUCUUUACUAGGCUCCAGCUGUCAUCUCACCUGCUGGCUCCCUUAAUUUUAGUCUCUAGCCCUUCCCUACUGGAACUUGAAAUACUAAAGGGAACGGUUAAGAAGUUUAAUUCCUGGACCGGAGCGCCCCCUAGGCACACCGAGCUAAACUGUGACGCGCUUCAUCUGACUCAGGAUUCUGGGAAGUUGAUGUCCAGGGUCAGCAUCGGAUCCUUGAACUUCCCGGUUUGUAUUGUGAGGCAAGCACCCUGGGACUUUCCUGACUUGGGCAGGGAGGGUGCAGGGAAGGAGACGGGGAAGAAGGAAGUGGCAAACACUGUCCAAGCAGGCACCGAAAAGGCUAUGCAGGGGUUGCUCCUUCAACAGACACGUGGGGCUAGAGUGGGGGCGGGAGUGGUAGAUAUACCAGAGACUCAGGAGAUGCAAUUCAGCAGGCAAUAUUCAGCAGCCGCGGUGAGUGCACAGGGACAGAAGAACCAUCACUUAAUAAAAAGCACUGUUAGAGCCGGCCAGUGUGGCACUCACCUUUAAACCCAGCAUUUGAGAGGCAGAGACCGGAGAAUCUCUGAGUUCGAGGCCACCCUGGUCUACAACCGGAAGUUCACAGAGAAACUCUGUCUUGAAAAAAAACAAAACAAAACAACAGCAAAAACCUGUUAGAACAGAACAACCCAUUUCAAGUCAACUAUUUAUGUUCCUGUUACUGCUCUCUUGUUACAGUGAAUCUUAUAUGUUCAUUUUAAACAAGGAUUCUUCAAGUUUAUAACUUUUUUGCUGCAUUUUGAUUUUCUUUCCUCUUUUUUUUUUAAAUACUUAUCUCCUAUAUACAUAGCUAACAUAACCAAAGCUUUGUGUCAAGUAGUAUGUUACAUUUCGUCUCUGUAUGUGUACAUUGUGGUGAUCUAGUGUAUAAGACCUGUGUGCAGUGUUUAUCUGUGUGUCUCUGUGGGAUAUGUAUAUGACGCAUCCAACAUAUAUGCAUUAUAUGUUUCUAUCUAUGUUUGAUAUUUUUGAAUGUUUAUAUGAUUGUGUGUGUCGUAUCUAUGCUCUAUAUUUGUGUAUCUGUUUCUGUGUGGAGUGAGUGUAUAUGUAGUGUGUUUAUUUGGGGUGAAUAUAUUUCUGUUUCUACAAGUAUUAACAUGGUCUGUGUAUGUGUGUCCAAGUAUGUGUGUGAAUUUGUGUAUGAACAAAUGUGUGUGUGUGUGUGUGUGUCUGUGUCUGUGUGUGUGUGUGUCUGUGUCUGUGUGUACUAUGUUCAUGUUUGCUGACUCUAGCAUCUCAGGUCCAAAUUCAGACCUUAGUUACUGUUCUGGAAAGUGAGACUUCCCAGGCACAGCAUCUGAGACUGGCUAGCAUCUAAGAGUUGGACAAGGCACUUUGCAUGGUAGACGUUUGAGAACCUGCACAGUCACUGUGUGUGCUGGGGGCAGUGACAUGCCGCAGCUUCUGCCGAGGCCAGCGUCCGUGCUUAUCAGCAGUCAGCACCCUCAAGAGCCAUUAUCACAGGCCACAGAGCGCUUGACUUCACAUGCUAUGUGUUUCUUUCUCCUCUAAGAUACAUUUUCAUUCUCACCUAAAGACAAAAGGUCUCUUGGGUGGAUCCAUGGGUCCUUUUUCCUUGUUAGGCCAGUCGACAUCAACAACGUCAGCCUUUUUGUCGGGGCAGGAAGUGGUGGCGCAGAUCCAAAUCAGCAAGGUGGCCUUUCCCCUAGUUUCUAGCCACAGUUCCGACUUGUGUACACAGCUCUGCCUCACCCUGCACAGUGAGCAUGCCCCGCUGUGUGGCUCAGUCAGCCUCCUGCCUCCUGACCUGGCUCUUACACAGAAGAUGAGACAGUCGUUAGGCCAAAGCAUUCAAGGUUUAGUUUAAUCCCAUAAGUGAAUUCCUCUAGUAGCCAUCAAGAGGUGUGGCCAUACCCUAGGGGAGGAGGGAAGGCUGAGAGCUUGGCUCAGGGUAAGCUAGAACUCACACCCAUCCAGGUUCACUCCUUACUCUGUGACUGGGAUACACAGGAUCUUUGGGCUCUGCUUCCUCAGUUGUUCCUGACUUACUUAGUGUUGGGCAGCAAACCUGGUAUAGAGUUCAUAGCGAAGUACAUAGACUACGACCUUUUAUUCAGUGUGUAGGUUGGCUUCCUGGACCCAGCCUCAGUCUGAGGGAGAACAGGUUGGGAGCAGAGUUCUUCCCAGACUGCUCUGUAGUCAAGGUUCUAGAAGCAAGUCAUCGUUUAUACUCCAACUAAGAUGUGCAAGGCCAGAGGAGGGGUGUGUGUGUGUGUGUGUGUGUGUGUGUGUGUGUGUGUGUGUGUGUGUGUGUGUAAGUUUGAGGGGGUGUGUCCAGGUGCAGAGACUAAAACCAGAGGAAGAUAUCACUUUUUGGCCUUUAUUCCCUGGAGACAGGGUCUCUCACUGAACUUGGAGCUAGGCAGCAGCCAGCAAGCCUGGGACCCUUCUGCCUCUGCCCCAGCACUGGGGUUGCAGGUGCUUGAGCAACCACAUCGACUUGAAUGACAUGGAUCCUUAUGCUUGUGAUGCGAGUGUCCUUACCUGUGAGCCGUUUCUCCACCCCUACCACUCACAUCUCGGCUCUUUUACCCUGACUUCCAGCGGCCAACAUCUGCACAUAUCUGACCUUGCACGUCUCAGCCUCCUCUAGCUCCAGCAAACCGGGGUUCCCUUAACUUGGUGCUUUCUUUCAAUAUUUAAAAAAACGAAACAAAACAUCCAUCACCACCACCAAACUUUUCUCAACAACCCAAGUACUGAAUUCUUCACCUAACUGAAAAGCAUAUGAGAAAGCUUCCCGUAUGCUUCUGAACUAUUCUUUGAUGAGACAAAUCUGACCUUCUUUUAGCUGCAUCUCCCAAUGGAAGGUGCAGCUUAGCAACUAGCGACAGCUGGCUUGCCUUUGUUAGGGACUUGGACACCCCAG